AGUAACGCGUGAGGAACCUGCCUCAAAGAGGGGGACAACAGUUGGAAACGACUGCUAAUACCGCAUAAGCCCACAGCUCGGCAUCGAGCAGAGGGAAAAGGAGUGAUCCGCUUUGAGAUGGCCUCGCGUCCGAUUAGCUAGUUGGUGAGGUAAUGGCCCACCAAGGCGACGAUCGGUAGCCGGACUGAGAGGUUGAACGGCCACAUUGGGACUGAGACACGGCCCAA
RNAcentral lists this ribosomal RNA (227 nucleotides) under uncultured bacterium. Its description in RNAcentral is "partial 16S ribosomal RNA". It matches the Rfam family "Bacterial small subunit ribosomal RNA", at positions 109 to 334 of the family's 1533-position model. The record is from RNAcentral.